RNAcentral lists this ribosomal RNA (1095 nucleotides) under uncultured Acidobacteriota bacterium. RNAcentral describes it as "bacterial SSU rRNA". It matches the Rfam family "Bacterial small subunit ribosomal RNA", at positions 46 to 1124 of the family's 1533-position model. Lineage: Bacteria; Pseudomonadati; Acidobacteriota. The record is from RNAcentral.
GCCUAACACAUGCAAGUCGAACGCGAAAGGGGCUUCGGCCCUGAGUAGAGUGGCGAACGGGUGAGUAACACGUGGGUGAUCUACCUCUAAGUGGGGGAUAACGUUCCGAAAGGAGCGCUAAUACCGCAUGACGUUCCGGGUUUGAAGACCUGGAAACCAAAGUCGGGGACCGCAAGGCCUGACGCUUGGAGAGGAGCCCGCGCCUGAUUAGCUAGUUGGUGGGGUAAUGGCUCACCAAGGCGACGAUCAGUAGCCGGCCUGAGAGGGCGGACGGCCACACUGGGACUGAGACACGGCCCAGACUCCUACGGGAGGCAGCAGUGGGGAAUUGUUCGCAAUGGGCGCAAGCCUGACGACGCAACGCCGCGUGGAGGAUGAAGGUCUUCGGAUUGUAAACUCCUGUUGACCGGGAAGAAUGGACUUCGACUUAACACGUCGGAGUAAUGACGGUACCGGUUGAGGAAGCCACGGCUAACUCUGUGCCAGCAGCCGCGGUAAUACAGAGGUGGCAAGCGUUGUUCGGAAUUACUGGGCGUAAAGGGCGCGUAGGCGGCCGCCUAAGUCAGACGUGAAAUCCCCAAGCUUAACUUGGGAACUGCGUCUGAUACUGGGUGGCUCGAGUUCGGGAGAGGAAUGUGGAAUUCCAGGGUAGCGGUGAAAUGCGUAGAUAUCUGGAGGAACACCGGUGGCGAAGGCGGCAUUCUGGACCGAAACUGACGCUGAUGCGCGAAAGCCAGGGAGCAAACGGGAUUAGAUACCCCGGUAGUCCUGCCCUAAAACGAUGAGUGCUUGGUGUGGUGGGUAUCGAUCCUGCCGUGCCGAAGCUAACGCAUUAAGCACUCCGCCUGGGGAGCACGGUCGCAAGGCUGAAACUCAAAAGAAUUGACGGGGGCCCGCACAAGCGGUGGAGCAUGUGGUUCAAUUCGACGCAACGCGAAGAACCUUACCUGGGCUCGAAAUGCGGUUGACAUCCGGCGAAAGCCGGCUCCCGCAAGGGCAAUUGUAUAGGUGCUGCAUGGCUGUCGUCAGCUCGUGUCGUGAGAUGUUGGGUUAAGUCCCGCAACGAGCGCAACCCUCGUCCUCUGUUGCCAUCAG